This 430-nucleotide ribosomal RNA is filed under the name bacterium. RNAcentral describes it as "partial 16S ribosomal RNA". It matches the Rfam family "Bacterial small subunit ribosomal RNA", at positions 355 to 776 of the family's 1533-position model. The record is from RNAcentral.
UGGGGAAUAUUGGACAAUGGGCGCAAGCCUGAUCCAGCCAUGCCGCGUGUGUGAAGAAGGCCUUUUGGUUGUAAAGCACUUUAAGCGAGGAGGAGGCUACUUGGAUUAAUACUCUAGGAUAGUGGACGUUACUCGCAGAAUAAGCACCGGCUAACUCUGUGCCAGCAGCCGCGGUAAUACAGAGGGUGCGAGCGUUAAUCGGAUUUACUGGGCGUAAAGCGUGCGUAGGCGGCUUCUUAAGUCGGAUGUGAAAUCCCUGAGCUUAACUUAGGAAUUGCAUUCGAUACUGGGAAGCUAGAGUAUGGGAGAGGAUGGUAGAAUUCCAGGUGUAGCAGUGAAAUGCGUAGAGAUCUGGAGGAAUACCGAUGGCGAAGACGGCCAUCUGGCCUAAUACUGACGCUGGGGUACGAUAGCAUGGGGAGCAAACAGG